GGGGCACUGCACCGAAACACUGCAGGUAGGCUCAGGUCAUGCUUGUUAUAACACACACCAAGUUUGGUGUCAAUAUGACAAACUGUUACGGAGAUAUAGCCUCACAUUGAUUUUUGCUAGCUUUUCGUAGAAUUCUUUCGCGUGUUAUUCGUGAACGGCUGGACGAAUCGACUUGAAUUCCAUAACUUUUUGCCAGCGUGGUCUGAAGAUGAUCUGGAUCAAUUUUUGUGACAAUCGGUGCAACGGCCUAGGACGAGUUCGAAAAAGUAGGUUUUACGAACAAUUGAGAAUAGCGAAAAAACUAAACCUUAC
This is a long non-coding RNA of Labeo rohita (rohu), 312 nucleotides long. RefSeq lists it as uncharacterized. Lineage: Eukaryota; Metazoa; Chordata; Actinopteri; Cypriniformes; Cyprinidae. The record is from RefSeq and is a predicted model, not a curated record. The transcript has 2 exons.